UUCCACAGCUACUGGUAUACAGCUGUUCUCAUAUUGACGGUUUCAGCAUUCCUCUGUGGGAAAGAAACUGUUACAGGAUUAAACGCCUCUUUCCUAGCAAAACAGGAAACAGGCAUAUAUGUGACAAACACAA
Molecule: small nucleolar RNA, 133 nt
Organism: Pteronotus mesoamericanus
Lineage: Eukaryota; Metazoa; Chordata; Mammalia; Chiroptera; Mormoopidae
Product: small nucleolar RNA SNORA41
Exons: 1
Source: RefSeq, a predicted model, not a curated record